AUUGAACGCUGGCGGCAGGCCUAACACAUGCAAGUCGAGCGGAUGAAGGGAGCUUGCUCCUGGAUUCAGCGGCGGACGGGUGAGUAAUGCCUAGGAAUCUGCCUGGUAGUGGGGGAUAACGUCCGGAAACGGGCGCUAAUACCGCAUACGUCCUGAGGGAGAAAGUGGGGGAUCUUCGGACCUCACGCUAUCAGAUGAGCCUAGGUCGGAUUAGCUAGUUGGUGGGGUAAAGGCCUACCAAGGCGACGAUCCGUAACUGGUCUGAGAGGAUGAUCAGUCACACUGGAACUGAGACACGGUCCAGACUCCUACGGGAGGCAGCAGUGGGGGAUAUUGGACAAUGGGCGAAAGCCUGAUCCAGCCAUGCCGCGUGUGUGAAGAAGGUCUUCGGAUUGUAAAGCACUUUAAGUUGGGAGGAAGGGCAGUAAGUCAAUACCUUGCUGUUUUGACGUUACCAACAGAAUAAGCACCGGCUAACUUCGUG
Molecule: ribosomal RNA, 484 nt
Filed under: uncultured bacterium
Lineage: Bacteria
Description: partial 16S ribosomal RNA
Rfam family: Bacterial small subunit ribosomal RNA
Source: RNAcentral